This 253-nucleotide ribosomal RNA is filed under the name uncultured bacterium. Its description in RNAcentral is "partial 16S ribosomal RNA". It matches the Rfam family "Bacterial small subunit ribosomal RNA", at positions 524 to 776 of the family's 1533-position model. The record is from RNAcentral.
GACGAACCGUGCAAACGUUAUUCGGAAUCACUGGGCUUAAAGGGCGCGUAGGCGGGCUGGAUAGUCUGUGGUGAAAUCCCCCAGCUUAACUGGGGAACUGCCAUGGAUACUGCCAGUCUCGAGGAGGGUAGGGGCAUCUGGAACAGCCGGUGGAGCGGUGAAAUGCGUUGAUAUCGGCUGGAACUCCGGUGGCGAAGGCGAGAUGCUGGACCCUUUCUGACGCUGAGGCGCGAAAGCCAGGGGAGCGAACGGG